UACGUAGGGUGCGAGCGUUGUCCGGAAUUAUUGGGCGUAAAGAGCUCGUAGGCGGUGUGUCACGUCGGCCGUGAAAACCUGCAGCUUAACUGUGGGCGUGCGGUCGAUACGGGCAUCACUGGAGUUCGGCAGGGGAGACUGGAAUUCCAGGUGUAGCGGUGAAAUGCGUAGAUAUCUGGAGGAACACCGGUGGCGAAGGCGGCAUCCUGGACCGACACUGACGCUGAGGAGCGAAAGCCAGGGGAGCAAACGGG
RNAcentral lists this ribosomal RNA (254 nucleotides) under uncultured bacterium. RNAcentral describes it as "partial 16S ribosomal RNA". It matches the Rfam family "Bacterial small subunit ribosomal RNA", at positions 524 to 776 of the family's 1533-position model. The record is from RNAcentral.